Molecule: long non-coding RNA, 948 nt
Filed under: Nicotiana benthamiana
Lineage: Eukaryota; Viridiplantae; Streptophyta; Magnoliopsida; Solanales; Solanaceae
Description: long non-coding RNA (NBEN_LNC037766)
Source: RNAcentral
UUUUGGUGUUAUCUGAUGACUUUCUCUUCACUUGAUGGAUGUUUUGGGUAACUUUCCGGCGUCUGUGACCUUAUUCCGGUGAGUUUCAGAACCUACGGUUUCCUGACUUUCUCUUCGCUUGAUGUACGUUUUGGGUAACUUUCCGGCGUCUGUGACCUUAUUCCGGUGACUUUCAGAACCUACGGUUUCCGGUGUUGGACCUAGGGUUUUCUCUGUCGAUUGAAGGUCGAUCUUCUCCGGUCGCGAGAAAGGAGGGUAACUCUUUCCUUAUUUUGAGUAUUGUAUGCUUUGUAUGUGAGUAUCUGGUUCCGUUAUAUUUUGCUUGUCGAAACUGUUUUUCGUUCAAGCUGGUUCAUUAAUCAUGGCUUCUAAUGCGAAUGAUGGUACCUCCUCCUCGGUAGACUCUACCAGCCCCCUUUUUGUAUACUCCUCUGAUGUCUCUGGGGUCUCUCUUGUCCCCACUCCCUUCUCGGGUAGUGGUUAUGGGGGUUGGAGGAGAAAAAUAAUUAUCGCGUUAUCUGCUAAAAACAAAAUUGGUUUUGUUGAUGGUACGUGCUCCCGGCCAGCCACUAAUAUGGCUCAACAAAGGAUAUGGGACAGGUGCAAUAAUAUGGUGAAUUCCUGGUUAACUGCCUCCCUCUUCCCUCAAAUUGCUGAAAGUGUGCAGUAUUCUGAUACUGCGCAGAGUAUAUGGUCCCAACUUCAGGCCAGAUAUGGCACUGCAAACAGGACCAAAAUUUUUGAAUUGAAAAGCGAGCUUUCUCACACCUCUAAAGGGUCCCUAGAUGUAGCUUCAUAUUUUAAUAAACUCAAAGGUCUGUGGGAUGAACUAGAAUCAAUGUGUGCCAAUCAUGGCCAAAGAUGUGUUUGUGCUGCCAAAGAUGGUAUAAUACAGGAAAAUGAUGAAAAUAAGGUAUUUCAGUUUCUAAUGGGCCUUAAUGAAGCANN